AUUGAACGCUGGCGGCAGGCCUAACACAUGCAAGUCGAGCGGAUGAAGGGAGCUUGCUCCUGGAUUCAGCGGCGGAUGGGUGAGUAAUGCCUAGGAAUCUGCCUGGUAGUGGGGGAUAACGUCCGGAAACGGGCGCUAAUACCGCAUACGUCCUGAGGGAGAAAGUGGGGGAUCUCCGGACCUCACGCUAUCAGAUGAGCCUAGGUCGGAUUAGCUAGUUGGUGGGGUAAAGGCCUACCAAGGCGACGAUCCGUAACUGGUCUGAGAGGAUGAUCAGUCACACUGGAACUGAGACACGGUCCAGACUCCUACGGGAGGCAGCAGUGGGGAAUAUUGGACAAUGGGCGAAAGCCUGAUCCAGCCAUGCCGCGUGUGUGAAGAAGGUCUUCGGAUUGUAAAGCACUUUAAGUUGGGAGGAAGGGCAGUAAGUUAAUACCUUGCUGUUUUGACGUUACCAACAGAAUAAGCACCGGCUAACUUCGUG
Molecule: ribosomal RNA, 484 nt
Filed under: uncultured bacterium
Lineage: Bacteria
Description: partial 16S ribosomal RNA
Rfam family: Bacterial small subunit ribosomal RNA
Source: RNAcentral